UACGGGGGGGGCAAGCGUUGUUCGGAAUUACUGGGCGUAGAGGGCUCGUAGGCGGCCAACUAAGUCAGACGUGAAAUCCCUCGGCUUAACCGGGGAACUGCAUCUGAUACUGGAUGGCUUGAGUUCGGGAGAGGGAUGCGGAAUUCCAGGUGUAGCGGUGAAAUGCGUAGAUAUCUGGAGGAACACCGGUGGCGAAGGCGGCAUCCUGGACCGACACUGACGCUGAGGAGCGAAAGCCAGGGGAGCAAACGGG
Molecule: ribosomal RNA, 253 nt
Filed under: uncultured bacterium
Lineage: Bacteria
Description: partial 16S ribosomal RNA
Rfam family: Bacterial small subunit ribosomal RNA
Source: RNAcentral